RNAcentral lists this ribosomal RNA (440 nucleotides) under uncultured bacterium. Its description in RNAcentral is "partial 16S ribosomal RNA". It matches the Rfam family "Bacterial small subunit ribosomal RNA", at positions 338 to 795 of the family's 1533-position model. The record is from RNAcentral.
CCUACGGGGAGCAGCAGUAGGGAAUAUUGCUCAAUGGGGGAAACCCUGAUGCCGCAACGCCGCGUGGAGGCUGCAGGUUUUCGGAUUGUAAACUCCUUUUGUUAGAGAAGAUAAUGACGGUAUCUAUCGAAUAAGCACCGGCUCACUCCGUGCCAGCAGCCGCGGUAAGAAGGAGGGUGCAAGAGUUAUUAGGCAGUACUGGUGGUAAAGAGGGCGCAGGAGGGAAAGCAAGUCAGAUGUGAAACCCCAUGGCUUAAACAUCGAACUGUCUUUGAAACUGUGAGUCUAGAGUGUGGGAGAGGCAGGUGGAAUUCUUGGUGUAGGGGUAAAAUGCGUAGAUAUCAGGAGGAAUACUCAUUGCGAAGGCGGCCUGCUAGAACGUAACUGACGCUGAGGCGCGAAAGCGUGGGGAGCAAACAGGAUUAGAUACCCGGGUAGUC